GGAUAGUGGAUAUACUUAACCUUGAAUAUCACUGAGGAAUGGAUGAUCAACAAUGGGAUACCUGCAAGAAUGAAGAAGAGGCAAAGGAAAGAAGCUGCAAAACCAAGUUCCCGUUGGCUCCCAGACCUCUAGGAAUUUGGGGGCAGCUAACCACUUCUGCAUCACCUAGUGGCAGCUCAAGAUCUAGACUUCUGCGUGGCUCCCAC
This is a long non-coding RNA of Zalophus californianus (California sea lion), 206 nucleotides long. RefSeq lists it as uncharacterized. The transcript has 3 exons. Lineage: Eukaryota; Metazoa; Chordata; Mammalia; Carnivora; Otariidae. The record is from RefSeq and is a predicted model, not a curated record.